CGAAGUGGGUUUGGGAAACAACCAUCGCAACGCUUGUAAAGCUUCCCCAACCAAUUACUCCUGAUAACUGAUAGGUCCCGUUGUGGCCAAUUUCUUCAUCGUCUGAUCAUCGAAAAUGAGCAUCUAUAAGAGAAGUCCAUACUGACUGGAGAUACCUCCGGAGGAGACCCUCCGAUGGUCAAGUCAGAGAGAAGACUAGACAACAGUAGAAAAAAAUCAGGGACUCAG
This 228-nucleotide long non-coding RNA is filed under the name Elaeis guineensis (African oil palm). Its description in RNAcentral is "long non-coding RNA (EGUI_LNC017671)". The record is from RNAcentral. Lineage: Eukaryota; Viridiplantae; Streptophyta; Magnoliopsida; Arecales; Arecaceae.